GUCUACAGCCACGCUACCCUGAACAAGCCUGAUCCCGUCUGAUCUCAGAAGCUAAGUAGAUUUGGGCCUGAUUAGUACUUGGAUGGGAGACCACGUAGGAAGACCAGGUGCUGUAGGCG
Molecule: ribosomal RNA, 119 nt
Filed under: Pteropus alecto (black flying fox)
Lineage: Eukaryota; Metazoa; Chordata; Mammalia; Chiroptera; Pteropodidae
Source: RNAcentral